GAUGAACGCUGGCGGCGUGCCUAAUACAUGCAAGUCGAGCGAACAGACGAGGAGCUUGCUCCUCUGACGUUAGCGGCGGACGGGUGAGUAACACGUGGAUAACCUACCUAUAAGACUGGGAUAACUUCGGGAGACCGGGGCUAAUACCGGAUAAUAUAUUGAACCGCAUGGUUCCAUAGUGAAAGACGGUUUUGCUGUCACUUAUAGAUGGAUCCGCGCCGCAUUAGCUAGUUGGUAAGGUAACGGCGUACCAAGGCAACGAUGCGUAGCCGACCUGAGAGGGUGAUCGGCCACACUGGAACGGAGACCCGGCACAGACUCCUACGGGAGGCAGCAGUAGGGAAUCUUCCGCAAGGGGCGAAAGCCAGACGGAGCAACGCCGCGGGAGGGAUGAAGGUCUUCGGAUCGUAAAACUCUGUUAUUAGGGAAGAACAAAUGUUUAACUAACUAGGCACGUCUUGACGGUACCUAAUCAGAAAGCCACGGCUAACUACGUG
This 497-nucleotide ribosomal RNA is filed under the name uncultured bacterium. RNAcentral describes it as "partial 16S ribosomal RNA". It matches the Rfam family "Bacterial small subunit ribosomal RNA", at positions 28 to 507 of the family's 1533-position model. The record is from RNAcentral.